Molecule: long non-coding RNA, 647 nt
Filed under: Ictidomys tridecemlineatus (thirteen-lined ground squirrel)
Lineage: Eukaryota; Metazoa; Chordata; Mammalia; Rodentia; Sciuridae
Description: lncRNA (ENSSTOG00000029892.1)
Source: RNAcentral
CUCCCCCGGGGUCCACAGUGGUUUGAUCCUACCUCACGGACUGUUAGGUCCUUUCUGAUUUCCCCUCCAGCAUCACCACCACAAAUGGUAUGGUCCUUAGCAUCAGGUCCUUUUUGUCCCCCCCCCCCACUGGUCUUCUAAGCAGGUUUGAAGCAGCUUCAUCUCAUUCCUGAUUCAUCCUGUUCCCCUCAGUGGCUUGCUCCUGCAUUAGCAAUGUAAAACUGGCCCCAAUGGGUUUCUAACUGGCCAGAAGUUGCUUCUGAUUAGUUCAAAUCUUUUGUGACAAGAAAAAAUCAGCUCUGACCAGUUGAAAUCGAUUUUGACCAGUUUAAAGCUAAUUCUGCAGAGCUGGAGCCUGAGGUCGGUAAACCCAGGAAGAUGGCUGAAGACUAUGCUGAUUCAAGCCAAAGCAAGGAACCAGGUCUGCAGUGAGGCACUUCAGGUGAUUCUGAUGCAGGUCGUCCUUGACAAUGCUCUGGGAACUAUCAUCCAUGUGAAGAGAACUGCAUCCUGUCCAUCUUCAUCCCUGGCAAUGACUAGCCCCAUGCUGCCCUGCUUCACUGCAGAAUGCAGCCAGAAAGUGGUUGUAGGAUAUCUGCAGCUCCAUCUCAUUUCCUGAUUUCCAACAUCUUGAUUUUAUGGAAAAG